This 1399-nucleotide ribosomal RNA is filed under the name synthetic construct. RNAcentral's name for it is "bacterial SSU rRNA". It matches the Rfam family "Bacterial small subunit ribosomal RNA". RNAcentral also lists the same sequence under 2 other names. The record is from RNAcentral.
GAGUUUGAUCAUGGCUCAGGACGAACGCUGGCGGCGUGCUUAACACAUGCAAGUCGAACGGGCUCUGUCUGGCUGUGUGCUGGGUGGGGUUAGUGGCGAACGGGUGAGUAAUACGUGAGUAACCUGCCCUCUUCUUUGGGAUAAGCCUUGGAAACGGGGUCUAAUACUGGAUAUUCCUGUCUGGUCGCAUGGCUGGGUGGGGAAAGUUUUUUCGGUGGGGGAUUGCGUCUGAUUAGCUAGUUGGAGGGGUAACGGCCCACCAAGGCGAUGAUCAGUAGCCGGUCUGAGAGGAUGAACGGCCACAUUGGGACUGAGACACGGCCCAGACUCCUACGGGAGGCAGCAGUGGGGAAUCUUCCGCAAUGGACGAAAGUCUGACGGAGCAACGCCGCGUGAGUGAUGACGGCCUUCGGGUUGUAAAGCUCUGUUAAUCGGGACGAAAGGCCUUCUUGCGAAUAGUUAGAAGGAUUGACGGUACCGGAAUAGAAAGCCACGGCUAACUACGUGCCAGCAGCCGCGGUAAUACGUAGGUGGCAAGCGUUGUCCGGAAUUAUUGGGCGUAAAGCGCGCGCAGGCGGAUCAGUCAGUCUGUCUUAAAAGUUCGGGGCUUAACCCCGUGAUGGGAUGGAAACUGCUGAUCUAGAGUAUCGGAGAGGAAAGUGGAAUUCCUAGUGUAGCGGUGAAAUGCGUAGAUAUUAGGAAGAACACCAGUGGCGAAGGCGACUUUCUGGACGAAAACUGACGCUGAGGCGCGAAAGCCAGGGGAGCGAACGGAAUUAGAUACCCCGGUAGUCCUGGCCGUAAACGAUGGGUACUAGGUGUAGGAGGUAUCGACCCCUUCUGUGCCGGAGUUAACGCAAUAAGUACCCCGCCUGGGGAGUACGACCGCAAGGUUGAAACUCAAAGGAAUUGACGGGGGCCCGCACAAGCGGUGGAGUAUGUGGUUUAAUUCGACGCAACGCGAAGAACCUUACCAGGUCUUGACAUUGAUGGACAGAACCAGAGAUGGUUCCUCUUCUUCGGAAGCCAGAAAACAGGUGGUGCACGGUUGUCGUCAGCUCGUGUCGUGAGAUGUUGGGUUAAGUCCCGCAACGAGCGCAAUCCCUAUCUUAUGUUGCCAGCACUUCGGGUGGGAACUCAUGAGAGACUGCCGCAGACAAUGCGGAGGAAGGCGGGGAUGACGUCAAAUCAUCAUGCCCCUUAUGACCUGGGCUACACACGUACUACAAUGGGAGUUAAUAGACGGAAGCGAGAUCGCGAGAUGGAGCAAACCCGAGAAACACUCUCUCAGUUCGGAUCGUAGGCUGCAACUCGCCUACGUGAAGUCGGAAUCGCUAGUAAUCGCAGGUCAGCAUACUGCGGUGAAUACGUUCCCGGGCCUUGCACACACCGCCCGUCA